CCUACGGGGGGCAGCAGUAGGGAAUCUUUCACAAUGGGCGAAAGCCUGAUGGAGCAACGCCGCGUGCAGGAUGAAGGUCUUCGGGUUGUAAACUGCUUUUAUAAGCGAGAAAUAUGAUGGUAACUUAUGAAUAAGGAUCGGAUAACUACGUGCCAGCAGCCGCGGUCAUACGUAGGAUCCGAGAAGUAUCCGGAGUGACUUGGUGCAAAGAGUUGCGUAGGUGGCAUAAUAAGUAGCUAGUGAAAUCUGGUGGCUCAACCAUUCAGACUAUUAGCUAAACUGUUAAGCUCGAGACCGUUAGGGGUAACUGGAAUUUCUAGUGUAGGAGUGAAAUCCGUAGAUAUUAGAAGGAACACCAAUAGCGUAGGCAGGUUGCUGGGACGGUUCUGACACUAAGGGACGAAAGCGUAGGGAGCAAACGGGAUUAGAUACCCUUGUAGUC
Molecule: ribosomal RNA, 442 nt
Filed under: uncultured bacterium
Lineage: Bacteria
Description: partial 16S ribosomal RNA
Rfam family: Bacterial small subunit ribosomal RNA
Source: RNAcentral